GGGGUUGUAGCUCAGUGGUAGAGCAAUUGCCUAGUAUGUGAGGCACUGGGUUCGAUCCCCAGCACCA
Molecule: transfer RNA, 67 nt
Filed under: Ictidomys tridecemlineatus (thirteen-lined ground squirrel)
Lineage: Eukaryota; Metazoa; Chordata; Mammalia; Rodentia; Sciuridae
Description: Spermophilus tridecemlineatus (thirteen-lined ground squirrel) tRNA
Rfam family: tRNA
About the family: Transfer RNA (tRNA) molecules are approximately 80 nucleotides in length. Their secondary structure includes four short double-helical elements and three loops (D, anti-codon, and T loops). Further hydrogen bonds mediate the characteristic L-shaped molecular structure. tRNAs have two regions of fundamental functional importance: the anti-codon, which is responsible for specific mRNA codon recognition, and the 3' end, to which the tRNAs corresponding amino acid is attached (by aminoacyl-tRNA synthetases). tRNAs cope with the degeneracy of the genetic code in two manners: having more than one tRNA (with a specific anti-codon) for a particular amino acid; and 'wobble' base-pairing, i.e. permitting non-standard base-pairing at the 3rd anti-codon position.
Source: Rfam by way of RNAcentral